Tigriopus californicus is the source of this 2406-nucleotide long non-coding RNA. RefSeq lists it as uncharacterized. The transcript is spliced from 3 exons. NCBI's taxonomy places the organism in Eukaryota, Metazoa, Arthropoda, Copepoda, Harpacticoida, Harpacticidae. The record is from RefSeq and is a predicted model, not a curated record.
UGUGGCUAGUGGCAACAGCUGCGUUUGCUCCUUGUCCGUAAAAGACGCUUCUCUAAAAGCACGAGACGCCCGCGCCAAUGGACGGUUCUUCGUACUUUUUUUUUUGAAUGGGUCUCGUGUUGCCGGUUGUCUAGCUUUGGGAUUCCAUUUCUAAGGGCUUGCAAUGGAAUUUUGAGAGGAUUGCUGGAAGCGUGCAGAAUAGGCUUCAAGAGAAUUCGUUCCUUUGUGGCCGCAUUUGAACACAAUCCUUCUCGGCCAGACAAAGGCCAUCUCAUGACGGGCAGCAAAUGCAAACAGACAUUGAGGCAGGUCAAUGGUCCAAAUCGAAGAACUUCGCGUUUUCGGAAGCGGUAUUUGAUCUUGUCCCUCGACCUCUGAUGACUUUCCGCUUGAAGGAUGAACUUGGGCGGACAAAAGGGGCCGUGGUGACCCUGGAGCACUCUUUGAAAUUGGCGCCAAAUUGCGCGGCGGUCCAUCUUGAAGUGUAAGCUGGCGUAAGGAAGAAUGUGGGUGGGCGUCGAAUCCAAAUUCCAAUUGUGACCCUGGCUUUGUGGUAGUCUCCCCAUUCUCAAGAGAGGUGCCUGCAGGAUUAUCGCCUUGCUUCAUUGCCCAAGACUCGGCCAUCAGAUCUGAAGAUGACAAGAUUUACUUUAACGCAAAAUCCAUCAAUCAUGGAGGUUUUUUUCCUCUCGCCAGAAAAAAAGGAACUUCUCCCAAGGCCCUGAGAGUACCAGAAAGAGCGAUAAGCUGGGCUUGAGUAUCUUUAAAGACAAGUGAAAACGACCUUCGGAAACUGUAAAGAACAAGAACCACCAAGGCCGAGAGAAAAUGCGAAAGGACAGAUUCAAUCGAGAUCUACUUUACUGUGGUAUGUGGUAUAAUCAACUGUCCCAUCUCCGCAUCUAGAGGGCACUCGACUCGUUAUCAGAAUCCAUCUCAUUUUCCGAUAAUGCCCCAGCUCCUCCUUUGUGUGCUCACCCAUUUCCCUCGCGCCCAAGGUGUUGGGCCUCGGCAAAAAGAAAAGCCAACUGGAAGAUUUGGCCUUCUCAACCUCAUUCUCUGCGUUGUCAGGGGCCCUGAGCAAGAAAGAAAAGUGGAGGCAGAAGACGGACCAUUUAUCAUUUUGCCGAUGCUUGAUGGACGAACCCAAUGUAACGAAGUGCUUGUCAAAUUGAUAUCUGACAGCCUCCAACUGGUUCGGUUGAGGAUGAGUGCCCAUUUUUUGCACUGUGAGACCUUAGCCAAGGUUUUUUGGCACGGCUAUGAAGGCUUCAGUCUUCAAUCUCAUGACCGGAUCGAGAGCAUGGUUAUCGAGAACCAAGGGAACAGGGAAAGGGACUCCUUGGCGGUCUACCUUUCUGGUGGAUAGUGACUUUGGGAACUGCGAUCCGGGAAACCUUGGUUUCAAGGAGAUUCAGGAGAGUCCCACCAAUGGGUGCGAAGGUGAAUGGGGAGGUAAUAUUAAACUUGGCCUAGCUCCAAACCCUGCCAGACAAGAGACUGAUAAUGGAAAUAGAACAGCUCGAAAAUUGGAGCCAAUCUUGGUGGGUUCUAGUCUCUUGCAACCAUUUGAUGGUGUGCGGUUCUCGACCAUAUCAAUGCCUUGGUUGGAUGGCGGGAGUUUUGAACACUUAAUGGAUCUAAGACGAGCUAACGGGGAACGUCGGUCUCUGUUCAAAUAUUCAUGGCUUGAUGGUUCAUGUCAAAAGCAAUUGCCUCUACAAAGUAGAGUAACUGAUGCUCUUCAGAACAAUAUAACUAGAGGCAAUUUUCAUGAGUUUUCAAGUCAACAUUAAAGUUUUAUUUCUGUUUGGAGCCGAGGGAAACUUGCCUAACGGCAGGACAAUCGAAAAUUGUGGUAUGCCAUGGGAAAUGGCACGUUCCUGUGACAUUUCUUGCUACUAUUUAUAUCACUGAAAUAUUGGACUCCCUUUGCUUCAGUGGCCAUUCUGUUUUAGUUGUUACUACGUUAAUGCAAAGUUAACCAAGCAAGUUGAAAGAGUUGACCACGUCUUUUUUAGGACACUUUCGUAUCUCAUGAAUCAUUUUUCCUGCCAAAAGAGACGGAAACUGCAUCGCUCUCUAAUCCUCCCGAGUCUUGAAUGAGAACGGAGCGAACAUUUAACAAAUGGUCCAAUACUGAAGGUUGAGGCCGCCCACGAGAUUAUUGGAAUCAAGACGGAUGCCCUGGACACUUUCAAUUGUGGGAGGAAAUGAAUUAGAACAAGACAAAGUGUGGAGACAAAAGGCUUUCUCUCUAUCUAGUAGACAUUGUAGAAAGACCUUGGUCAUGGAAAUGGCCGUGAAGAAUGAUAAUCCAUCAUUAUAGACAUUUCUUGCGGCCUCAUCGUCCCAUAAAUACACUAGAAUAAAAGCCUGCCUUCGAUCAAGCUAGGCAAGUGCCUU